AUCACUGUGAUCAUUUUGCGGCCUGGGGAGCAAGGAUCCAUGGUUUUUAUAUGCCUUGUCCGGCUGCUGGAGUUGAUGACAUGGAAACGUCAUCUCUACCAUCUCGAUGGCUUAGACCCAGGGAGCCGGAUGUUCAUCUCAGCCCUCCCCAGCUUCCAUCAAUGGAUUUUUAUAGUCAGGGUUAAAGACUGAGAGGCCCUAUGCAUGUUCACAAAAACACAAUUUUGACAAAUUAUCUCUAUUGUAAAAUUGAGGGAGUAACUCAUUAUUCGAGAGAACUGGUCGUACAUGAAGCAUCAAGAACACACGUGCAAAAAUCUAAUUCUAACUGAAUUUAGCUUUCAGUUGGCAUUUCCUCAAACAAUCAAGUGCACCUAUUAUUAUUUGGCUGACAAAAAUAUGAACACCAAACAUGCCAUCAUCAUUAAGCAAUUCAAGGAUGUCUAUGAAUCGGACAUGAAAUAUUUGGAGCAUGGAAUAAAAAACAGCACACUGUCUUCUGGCGUAGAUGCACAAUAGAUGCACUCCUUCAAAUAGAGAUCAAUUUUCAGCUGAAACGAUAGAUGCACUCUUUCAAAUAUGCAUCAUAGUAGGUCCUACAAAAAUCACGAGAAAUUAGAGGAUGCAACUUGAUGACUGCCUUCUAUAUCAUUUGGAGGACAAAAGAAGCUAGAAAAAUUGUGAUGAACCACCAAUCCCUGUUAAAAGUAACUAUCAUUCCCCUUUGAUAUAUGGAUAUAUCAAUCAAGAGAGAGAGUGGGGGGGUUAUACCAGGAAACACUUUGCAAACAUAAGCUUUUAAACUGGUAGUCAACUUACUGUCAACAUGUAAGGUUGCCUCAUUUCUGAAAAACACAAAUCCACCCUAAAUUUUCACAUGAAUAAAAUGUAGAUUUUCUCUUCUAUCAAGAUAUUACAUGUCUGGUAUCUUCUUGUAGGAACUGCUACCAUCAUUUGCUUCUUCUCACAAAGAAUUCAAUCCAUAGUAUGCCAAGAAGCUAUGAAAAAAAAUUAAUUUCUUCAAAGAAUAAAAUACAUUGCAGAAAUAAAAUACUCUAUCAGAGAGUUGGCAGGCAAGGUAGUAGGGACAAGAAGAGCAAGAACUAACUUUGAGAGGAUAUGGGCAAACUCCUGCAUUGUGCCCUGGCUGACCCCUACGCUUACGCCAUGCCUCCUGUAUCCAUUCCUCAUUCCUCUGUGUUGUGAUAGAAAUUCAGAAUGGCAAAUAAAAGUAUUAUUAGAUUGCAGCCUUAAUUUCUUAUCCUUUAGUAGAUGCACAUUUGAUUCUAUUCUUAGAUUGCAGCCUUAAUUUCUUAUCCUUUAGUAGACGCACAUUUGAUUCUGAAGGAAGAAGACGGGAAAUAUGCAUAUAGCAAGAAAUAGUAAAAAUAUGUUCUUUCGAACUUGCAUGGCUAUUUGUUUUUUCUGUAAACAUGCCAAUCUACUGCCAUCUCACUCGCCUUAAUUUCUUACCUUUUCAUAGAUGCAAAUUUGAUUUUGAGCAAGUAGAGAAGCAAUAUACGAUAGCAUACAUCAAGAAAGAGUAGAAGAAUGUUCUUUUCAGCUGAUGUACACUAUAGAUGCAAAUUAUAUAUAUACGACUAUAAUUUUUUUCCUGUAAAUACACUGAUGUACUACCAUCUCAUUACAAAUUAUGUAUCGUGCCAAGGAAAAAUCAUUUUACUUUUCAGCAUAUAUAUACGAUCAUACGGUAGUCACACAUAUAAGCAGCACCACAAAAACAAACACACAAACAUGACACCUGGAAAAAUCAGGAACGGAGGAAUUAGCAUGACAAUAAGAAGUAAACAAAUAGGGUAGAAAAGUGCAGUGCUUAGAAAAGAAUGACAAGGAGAAACAUUGACCAAAGGAACAGAGAAGGAGCAACCUUAGCGAUUCUAGAGCCUGCAAAAUAGAAGGAAAGGAAGGUUAGCCAAACAAGCCAGUCUGUUCAAUACCUAACACAACAACAAAUCAAAGACAACCUAGCUUUACAUGGCAGAAAUUUCAAGAGAAAAAAUAUAUAAUAUGAUAUCUAACUGUGCGAAUACAUUAGGAAAUACCACUUCCAAAUUAGAGCGCACCAUUCCCCAAAACUCAAGGACUCAAUAUUCAAAAACUACACAUCAUGAUAGUUAGUUGUUCUACAGCAGCAAGCUAAAUAACACCUAGGUUGUGUAUUAUCUCAUCACACAAAGAAUGUAAAUCAUCACUCCAUAAGAUCAAGAUUUACUAUUUAUUCUACUUCUGCCCCCAACGCAUGAAAAUGCAGCUCCAUUUGGAAUCUGCUCUCCAGUCAAGUAUUUUGUUAAGCAAAUAGGCACAUAGCAAAAAACCAAACCAGAUUCCCGCCUCCAUAUAUGCUUCACGUAUAGUUGUUUACCAAUUCUAGUUCUGCUUGAAACAUCAAGCAUAAUUGGCUACUGAUUCAUUUAUAAAAUAGAAGUGCACCAAAAAAUAACUAUUUGAAAUUACAAAUAGGGAUAGGCCAAUAGAUGACCUCUUAAUUCCAUAGGAAUCACAAAAUCCCAAAAAACGGUACAAUUAUCAUUUUAUAAAUGUUCGCACCUUAAAGUUAACAAUCUUCUCAAAUUAGCAUACAGGGCUAACAUAAACUUAAGCAAGACUGUCCAAAUGAUCAUGGUACAUGGUGGAUUUAUCAUAAUUAAUAUUUGGCUGGAAGUGGGCUACGUUCUACAGAUAUUCUGAAGCUCAUUUUCAGUAGUCAGAUAAAUCGACCUGCUACAGCGCCUCUAGCCGCCCACCAACACCCACGAUAGGCCACCAUGGACGACGUGCACCUGAUUCCACCAGGAAGCCAAUCCUAUACCAUCGCUAGUGUGCGCGCGCCUAAAGUGCACAGUGAGGCAGAUCUUCCCUUCGUGGUAUAUCUGCAUCAAUAUCCCAACCACAACAAGAAUCACUGCCAAGAAUGAUUAUCACCCGACAACACUAUUUUUUUAACAAGUUUCAUGGUGGCAAUUCAUAGAACAGUCCAACAUAAAUAAAGAAGCUGCAACCAUAGUGUGAGAAUUGGAAGGGAAUACUGAAGCGAACAUGGGCGCAAAGAAAUACACAACUGAACUGGAGACAAUGAAAGUAGACCACUCCAAAACAUUAAGAAACCUAUAGUCGUUAAUGUGGAAACUAAAUCUCAUUGAGGUGGAGAUGACUCAUAAC
RNAcentral lists this long non-coding RNA (3180 nucleotides) under Triticum aestivum (bread wheat). Its description in RNAcentral is "long non-coding RNA (TAES_LNC021098)". The record is from RNAcentral. Lineage: Eukaryota; Viridiplantae; Streptophyta; Magnoliopsida; Poales; Poaceae.